ACUCCUACGGGAGGCAGCAGUAGGGAAUCUUCCACAAUGGGCGCAAGCCUGAUGGAGCAACACCGCGUGAGUGAAGAAGGGUUUCGGCUCGUAAAGCUCUGUUGUUAAAGAAGAACACGUAUGAGAGUAACUGUUCAUACGUUGACGGUAUUUAACCAGAAAGUCACGGCUAACUACGUGCCAGCAGCCGCGGUAAUACGUAGGUGGCAAGCGUUAUCCGGAUUUAUUGGGCGUAAAGAGAGUGCAGGCGGUUUUCUAAGUCUGAUGUGAAAGCCUUCGGCUUAACCGGAGAAGUGCAUCGGAAACUGGAUAACUUGAGUGCAGAAGAGGGUAGUGGAACUCCAUGUGUAGCGGUGGAAUGCGUAGAUAUAUGGAAGAACACCAGUGGCGAAGGCGGCUACCUGGUCUGCAACUGACGCUGAGACUCGGAAAGCAUGGGGUAGCGAACAGGAUUAGAUACCCUGGUAGGAUAGCG
Molecule: ribosomal RNA, 475 nt
Filed under: uncultured bacterium
Lineage: Bacteria
Description: bacterial SSU rRNA
Rfam family: Bacterial small subunit ribosomal RNA
Source: RNAcentral